Molecule: ribosomal RNA, 490 nt
Filed under: uncultured bacterium
Lineage: Bacteria
Description: partial 16S ribosomal RNA
Rfam family: Bacterial small subunit ribosomal RNA
Source: RNAcentral
AUUGAACGCUGGCGGCAGGCCUAACACAUGCAAGUCGAACGGUAACAGGAAGAAGCUUGCUUCUUUGCUGACGAGUGGCGGACGGGUGAGACAUGUCUGGGAAACCGCUUGAUGUAGGGGGAUAACUACUGGAAACGGUAGCUAAUACCGCAUAGCGUCGCAAGACCAAAGAGGGGGACCUUGGGGCCGCGUGCCAGCGGAUGUGCGCAGAUGGGAUGAGCUGGUAGGUGGGGUAACGACUCACCUAGGCGACUAUCCCUACCUGGUCUGAGAGGGUGGCCGGCCACCCUGGAACUGGGACACGGUCCAGACUCCUGCGGGAGGGCGCAGUGGGGAAUGUUGCGCAGUAGGCGGGAGCCUGGUGCAGCCGUGCCGCGUGUAAGAAGACAGCCUUCGGGUUGUAAAGUACUUUCAGCGGGGAGGAAGGGAGUACAGUUAAUACCUUGGCUCAUUGACGUUACCCGCAGAAGAAGCACCGGCUAACUACGUG